This 253-nucleotide ribosomal RNA is filed under the name uncultured bacterium. RNAcentral describes it as "partial 16S ribosomal RNA". It matches the Rfam family "Bacterial small subunit ribosomal RNA", at positions 524 to 776 of the family's 1533-position model. The record is from RNAcentral.
UACGGGGGGAGCAAGCGUUGUUCGGAUUUACUGGGCGUAAAGGGCGCGUAGGCGGCACUGCAAGUCAGUUGUGAAAUCUCCGGGCUUAACCCGGAAAGGUCAACUGAUACUGCAGGGCUAGAGUGCAGAAGGGGCAACUGGAAUUCUCGGUGUAGCGGUGAAAUGCGUAGAUAUCGAGAGGAACACCUGCGGCGAAGGCGGGUUGCUGGGCUGACACUGACGCUGAUGUGCGAAAGCCAGGGGAGCGAACGGG